This 29-nucleotide non-coding RNA is filed under the name Rattus norvegicus (Norway rat). The record is from RNAcentral. Lineage: Eukaryota; Metazoa; Chordata; Mammalia; Rodentia; Muridae.
UCAGAUGAACAUAAAGGGAGAAAGGCUGC